This 993-nucleotide ribosomal RNA is filed under the name Cionus alauda. Its description in RNAcentral is "SSU rRNA". It matches the Rfam family "Eukaryotic small subunit ribosomal RNA", at positions 441 to 1395 of the family's 1831-position model. Lineage: Eukaryota; Metazoa; Arthropoda; Insecta; Coleoptera; Curculionidae. The record is from RNAcentral.
UUACCCACUCCCGGCACGGGGAGGUAGUGACGAAAAAUAACGAUACGGGACUCAUCCGAGGCCCCGUAAUCGGAAUGAGUACACUCUAAACCCUUUAACGAGGAUCANNUGGNGGGCAAGUCUGGUGCCAGCAGCCGCGGUAAUUCCAGCUCCAAUAGCGUAUAUUAAAGUUGUUGCGGUUAAAAAGCUCGUAGUCGAAUUUGUGUCCCGCGCCGUCGGUUCAUCGUCCGCGGUGUUAACUGGCGUGUCGCGAGACGUCCUGCCGGUGGGCUUAGCUCUCACGGGCGGCCCAACUCAAUCCUGCCGCGGUGCUCUUCAUUGAGUGUCGAGGUGGGCCGGCACGUUUACUUUGAACAAAUUAGAGUGCUUAAAGCAGGCUAAAACUUCGCCUGAAUACUGUGUGCAUGGAAUAAUGGAAUAGGACCUCGGUUCUAUUUUGUUGGUUUUCGGAACCCCGAGGUAAUGAUUAAUAGGAACGGAUGGGGGCAUUCGUAUUGCGACGUUAGAGGUGAAAUUCUUGGAUCGUCGCAAGNNGAACAGAAGCGAAAGCAUUUGCCAAAAACGCUUUCAUUGAUCAAGAACGAAAGUUAGAGGUUCGAAGGCGAUCAGAUACCGCCCUAGUUCUAACCAUAAACGAUGCCAGCUAGCGAUCCGUCGACGUUCCUCCGAUGACUCGACGGGCAGCUUCCGGGAAACCAAAGCUUUUGGGUUCCGGGGGAAGUAUGGUUGCAAAGCUGAAACUUAAAGGAAUUGACGGAAGGGCACCACCAGGAGUGGAGCCUGCGGCUUAAUUUGACUCAACACGGGAAACCUCACCAGGCCCGGACACCGGAAGGAUUGACAGAUUGAGAGCUCUUUCUUGAUUCGGUGGGUGGUGGUGCAUGGCCGUUCUUAGUUGGUGGAGCGAUUUGUCUGGUUAAUUCCGAUAACGAACGAGACUCUAGCCUGCUAACUAGGCGUAUUACGACAUCCUAAAGGCCCGCCGGCUCGGGN